This 430-nucleotide unclassified non-coding RNA is filed under the name soil metagenome. RNAcentral describes it as "partial contains 5.8S ribosomal RNA, internal transcribed spacer 2, and large subunit ribosomal RNA". The stretch from base 1 to 120 matches the Rfam family "5.8S ribosomal RNA", at positions 35 to 154 of the family's 154-position model. The record is from RNAcentral.
GAUGAAGAACGUAGCGAAAUGCGAUACGUAAUGUGAAUUGCAGAAUUCAGUGAAUCAUCGAAUCUUUGAACGCAUAUUGCGCUCUCUGGUAUUCCGGAGAGCAUGCUUGUUUGAGUAUCAGUAAACACCUCAACUCCCUUUUCUUUUUUGAAAUUGGAGCUGGACUUGAGUGAUCCCAACGCUUUCUUCCAAGAAAGUGGCGGGUUGCUUGAGAUGCAGGUGCAGCUGAACUUUUCUCUGAGCUAUAAGCAUAUCUAUUUAGUCUGCCUAAAAAACAGAUUAUUACCUUUGCUGCAGCUAACAUAAAGGAGACUAGUUCUUGUGCUGACUGAUGCAGGAUUCACAGAGACAGCUUCGGCUGACUUUGUAAACUCGAUCUCAAAUCAAGUAAGACUACCCGCUGAACUUAAGCAUAUCAAUAAGCGGAGGA